RNAcentral lists this ribosomal RNA (1501 nucleotides) under uncultured bacterium. RNAcentral describes it as "bacterial SSU rRNA". It matches the Rfam family "Bacterial small subunit ribosomal RNA". The record is from RNAcentral.
AGAGUUUGAUCAUGGCUCAGGAUGAACGCUGGCGGCGUGCCUAAUACAUGCAAGUCGAACGAGGUGCUUUGUAGCAAUACGAAGUAUCCUAGUGGCGAACGGGUGAGUAACGCGUUGGUGACCUACCCCAAAGUGUGGGAUAACAGUCCGAAAGGAUUGCUAAUACCGCAUGUGGUCUCUGGAUUUAGAAACCGGUGACUAAAGGAGCAAUUCGCUUUGGGAGGGACCUGCGUCCCAUCAGCUAGUUGGUGAGGUAACGGCUCACCAAGGCGACGACGGGUAGGGGACCUGAGAGGGUGGCCCCCCACAAUGGAACUGAAACACGGUCCAUACACCUACGGGUGGCAGCAGUAGGGAAUAUUGGUCAAUGGGCGAAAGCCUGAACCAGCAACGCCGCGUGUGCGAUGAAGGCCAUCGGGUCGUAAAGCACUUUUCUGGGAGAUGAGAAAGGACAGUAUCCCAGGAAUAAGUCUCGGCUAACUACGUGCCAGCAGCCGCGGUAAAACGUAGGAGGCGAGCGUUAUCCGGAUUCACUGGGCGUAAAGCGCGUGCAGGUGGCUUGGUAAGUUAGGCGUGAAAUCUCCCGGCUCAACUGGGAGAGGUCGUCUAAUACUACCGGGCUUGAGAGCAGAAGAGGAAGAUGGAAUCCCCGGUGUAGUGGUGAAAUGCGUAGAUAUCGGGAGGAACACCAGUGGCGAAGGCGAUCUUCUGGUCUGUUUCUGACACUCAGACGCGACAGCUAGGGUAGUAAACGGGAUUAGAGACCCCGGGUAAUCCUAGCCGUAAACGAUGUAAACUUGGCGUCGGUGGUUAAACUCCCUUCAGUGUCGCAGCAACGCGAUGAGUUUACGCCUAGGGACUACGGCCGCAAGGUUAAAAUUCAAAGAAAUGACCGGAGGCCCCGCACAAGCAGCGGAGCGUGUGGUAUAAAUUCGAUGCUACACGAAGAACCUUACCCAGGCUUGACAUACAAGUGGUAGGGAUCUGAAAGGUGACCGACCCGCAAGGGAGCUUGAACAGGUGUUGCAUGGCUGUCGUCAGCUCGUGUCGUGAGAUGUUCGGUUAAGUCCGCUAACGAGGGGGAGCCCUCGCUGCGUGAAACAAGUGUCACGCAGGACCGCCGGUAUUAAGCCGGAGGAAGGUGGGGAUGACGUCAAGUCAGCAUGGCCUUUAUGCCUGGGGCUACACACACGCUACAAUGGGCAGUACAAUGGGUUGCUAAGCCGGGAGGUGGAGCCAAUCCCCCAAAACUGUCCUCAGUUCAGAUUGCAGGCUGCAACUCGCCUGCAUGAAGCCGGAGUUGCUAGUAAACGCGCGUCAGCUAUAGUGCGUUGAAUACGUUCUCGGGCCUUGUACACACCGCCCGUCACGUCAUGGGAGCUGGUAACACCUGAAGCCGGUAGCCUAACCGCAAGGAGGGCGCCGUCGAAGGUGGGGCUGGUGACUGGGACGAAGUCGUAACAAGGUAGGUGUACCGGAAGGUGCGGCUGGAUCACCUCCU